Non-coding RNA from Nicotiana tabacum (common tobacco), 808 nucleotides. NCBI's taxonomy places the organism in Eukaryota, Viridiplantae, Streptophyta, Magnoliopsida, Solanales, Solanaceae. The record is from RefSeq and is a predicted model, not a curated record.
CCCCCCCCCCCCCCUCACUCUUUUAUUAUCAUCUGUCAAAUAACCUUUAUCAAAAAAUAUUAUUUGUCAAAAUAACAGUCUUUUUAGGGGAAAAUUCUCCAUAAUUUCUUUUUCUGUCUCUGGGAGAGAGCUGGUUACAAUUUUAUUAAAAUGUUCCCUUUAGAGUUACUGAAGUUUCUUUUCUACUACAGACAAAGCUAGUGAAUUCGAUUUCCAAAGGUGCCCCUUGUAACUUUUUUCACCUAAAAAGCACAAUGAUUUCUGUUAACUUUAUCCUUUUUUUUGGGGUCUCAAGUGAAUUUUGCAUUUACUCUUAUACAAAUUAUGGGGUGGCCAGUACUAGUGCAUUCAACAAAGUUCUAGAAUGAUAUGCAUGAAUGUGCGUGGAUGUAGAGGACCACUCUUCUUUCAGUUGAAGAGCUUUCUUUGACUGCCUCCGUCCAACAUGUUCAGCUGAAUUCUUGUCUGAGUUAUGGCGCACUGCUUUUGGCGUCUCUUCUUACAAGUAUUCUACUGCAUCUGCACAAAUUUGAUCACUACAGUCCUCUUUCUGUCCCUCAUUUUAGCUGCCACUGCCAGCUUGUUACAUGGCGAGUUGAGUGCAGAUCAUCAUUUAUAUUGUAUACAGAAAUGAUUUGAGCGGAAAAAAAGGUGGUGCAUGUUCUCAAGAAUAUGCUCGCUUGCCUGUUGUGUUUUGUCCAAUAGAUUUCUUUUGGCACGUGAAAGUUACACUAUGGAAUUGCUUUUGUAGUUUUAAUAUCAGAUUUAAGGUUUACUUAUUUUUAUUUUCUAUUUCUAUUUUCUCGAA